UUUCCUGCUCCGAUAUCCUCAUCUACGCGGCCCGGGACGCGGCAAGCGCCCUCAGCAAUGGCAACAUCCACUUCGACGUCCCCGCCGGGCGCCUGGACGGCCUCGUGUCCUCGGCCGCCGAGGCCCAGGCGGAGCUUCCCGACUCCACCUUCACCGUGCAGCAGCUCAUCGACAACUUCGCCCGCAAGGACUUCGACGUGGAGGAGCUGGUCAUCUUGUCCGGUGCGCACUCCAUCGGCGUCGGCCACUGCUCCUCCUUCACCGGCCGCCUCACCGCGCCGCCGGAGCAGAUCAACCCGGCCUACCGCAACCUGCUCAACCACAAGUGCCACCAGGGCGCCAACCCCGCCGUCGUCAACAACGUCCGCGACGAGGACUACGAGACGGUCGCCAGGUUCAUGCCGGGGUUCACCAGCCGGGUGCGCAAGAUCAGCGACGUCCUGGACAACACCUUCUACCACAACAACCUCGCCAGGAUCGUCAGCUUCAACUCCGACUGGCAGCUCAUGACCCACACCGAGGCCAGGGGACACGUCCACGAGUACGCCGACAACGCCACGCUCUGGGACGGGGACUUCGCCGAGUCAUUGCUCAAGCU
RNAcentral lists this long non-coding RNA (598 nucleotides) under Hordeum vulgare. RNAcentral's name for it is "long non-coding RNA (HVUL_LNC020441)". Lineage: Eukaryota; Viridiplantae; Streptophyta; Magnoliopsida; Poales; Poaceae. The record is from RNAcentral.